AUGGAGGUGCCCGUGUUCUGGUUGGGGUCGCUCCGGCCCUGCGCCGUCACCGUGUUGCACUGCCCCUGCAUCGGCAGCCUGGAGUAGAAGGUGCAGCCCUGGAAGACGACGGCGGCGUUGCCGAACACGUAGUCCACGGUGCCGUAGACGUCGCAGCCGCGGUAGAACUGCCGGAGGGAGUGCGUGUACAGCGUGUCCUGGUACGCCUCGAAGCUGCAGCCGUAGUACGCCGACAGGUCCGCGCCGGAGCGGAACGCCACCGCCUGGUGCUUCGCCGGCCCCGCCGUGUUCCGGAACGUCAUGUUCAUCGCCACGAAUCCUUGCCCCACCACGGCUGCAUGCGCGCGUGUAUCAGCAACCAUGGAGAAGACGAUCGAUUAGGCUUUGUUUGGAUGUAGUCGGAUUUACAUCAAUCCGCAUGUAUUGAGGUGGAUUGGUGUGGAACUUGAACUACAUUCUAUUCCAAUCCACACCAACACACAUGGAUUGAAGUGAAUUCGACAAAUCCAAACAAAGCCUUAGUGAUGAAGAGCACAGCAAGUUUCAUGCAUGGUGAAGAAAAAAAAAUUAAAGAAGUUGGGGAGACAAACAGUAAAGGAUAAUAUAUCUUGCAUGUGUGUGAUCGUGCGCACGAUUAAUGAUGUGACGAGACCACAAUCCUCCUUGUGGAAUGGGACCAAAUAAAAGCGACGCGUUUUUUAGGUUUCAGACCCCCUAUCUCAUCCAUAUAUAUAUGUGCGCCUAAUGUCACACUUGGCUGGCACUCCAGUUUAUAUUGAAAGUGCAAGCUCACUGUGGCAAGUUUCAAUUAUGUAUAUUUUAAUCAAUUUUCAAAUCGUAACAACGCAACAGGAUGCAUGGCAUACCGAAGGUGGCCGAUUGGAAGGUGGUCCAGCCGUCGACGACGCUCCGGUUGCCGGUGACCACGGUCUGGCCGAUGCCGUCGCCGACCAUCAUGAUGUACUUGUUGUGCUUGGCUCAUCCAUAUAUAUAUGUGCGCCUAAUGUCACACUUGGCUGGCACUCCAGUUUAUAUUGAAAGUGCAAGCUCACUGUGGCAAGUUUCAAUUAUGUAUAUUUUAAUCAAUUUUCAAAUCGUAACAACGCAACAGGAUGCAUGGCAUACCGAAGGUGGCCGAUUGGAAGGUGGUCCAGCCGUCGACGACGCUCCGGUUGCCGGUGACCACGGUCUGGCCGAUGCCGUCGCCGACCAUCAUGAUGUACUUGUUGUGCUUGGGCACCACCACGUUCUCCUCGUAGACGCCGGCAAGCACGUAGACCACGUAGUAGCCGGU
Molecule: long non-coding RNA, 1294 nt
Filed under: Sorghum bicolor (sorghum)
Lineage: Eukaryota; Viridiplantae; Streptophyta; Magnoliopsida; Poales; Poaceae
Description: long non-coding RNA (SBIC_LNC016527)
Rfam family: MIR5565 microRNA precursor family (bases 395-503)
Source: RNAcentral